Cercocebus atys (sooty mangabey) is the source of this 421-nucleotide long non-coding RNA. RefSeq lists it as uncharacterized. The record is from RefSeq and is a predicted model, not a curated record. The transcript is spliced from 3 exons. Lineage: Eukaryota; Metazoa; Chordata; Mammalia; Primates; Cercopithecidae.
CCAAAACCUCAUACAGUGUAAAGCACUCAGGAAGUGCCAUCUGUAUUCACCACAUCACACAGACUGGUGACCUGUACAUCACCUGCUCCCAGGAGAUCAGGACGAGAAGAACAAAGGAAACAACUUUUGAGUUUUCUCUGCCUUUAGAAAAGAAAAGCUGAUGGUUUGCCAAAAGAAAAUGAACUCCAAACUCUCGGGGUCUGAACUGGGUUCAAGCAUCAGAUCCAGGGAAGCCCAGGGGGUUGCUGUUUAGUCAGGGGCCUCAAAUGUUCUCUGCACAAGCCAGGCAAAACAGGAAAACCAGACCAGCAGAGAGGAGAGAGACCAGCAAUCAGACCCUCCCAGAGACAAUCACUGUUAACACACUGGUGCAGACCUUUCCUAAUUUCUUUUCUAUAGAUAUAUGUUAUACUUUCCCUCU